RNAcentral lists this ribosomal RNA (460 nucleotides) under uncultured bacterium. RNAcentral's name for it is "partial 16S ribosomal RNA". It matches the Rfam family "Bacterial small subunit ribosomal RNA", at positions 338 to 795 of the family's 1533-position model. The record is from RNAcentral.
CCUACGGGUGGCAGCAGUGAGGAAUAUUGGUCAAUGGCCGAGAGGCUGAACCAGCCAAGUCGCGUGAGGGAAGACGGCCCUACGGGUUGUAAACCUCUUUUGUCGGGGAGCAAAGCGCGUCACGUGUGACUCAUUGCGCGUACCCGAAGAAAAAGCCCCGGCUAACUCCGUGCCAGCAGCCGCGGUAAUACGGAGGGGGCAAGCGUUAUCCGGAUUUACUGGGUGUAAAGGGGGCGCAGACGGCGGUGCAAGCCAGGGGUGAAAGCCCGGGGCCCAACCCCGGGACUGCUGUUGGAACUGGGUGGCUGGAGUGCAGGAGAGGCAGGCGGAAGUCGUGGUGUAGCGGUGAAAUGCGUAGAUAUCAGGAGGAACACCGGUGGCGAAGGCGGCCUGCUGGACUGCAACUGACGUUGAGGCCCGAAAGCGUGGGGAGCAAACAGGAUUAGAUACCCGGGUAGUC